RNAcentral lists this ribosomal RNA (1519 nucleotides) under Companilactobacillus crustorum. RNAcentral describes it as "bacterial SSU rRNA". It matches the Rfam family "Bacterial small subunit ribosomal RNA". The record is from RNAcentral. Lineage: Bacteria; Bacillati; Bacillota; Bacilli; Lactobacillales; Lactobacillaceae.
GACGAACGCUGGCGGCAUGCCUAAUACAUGCAAGUCGAACGAACCAUCCUGAAGAUUGAAGCUUGCUUCAUGAUUCAGACCUUGGUGAGUGGCGGACGGGUGAGUAACACGUGGGUAACCUGCCCAAAAGUGGGGGAUAACAUCUGGAAACAGGUGCUAAUACCGCAUAACAACUACUUUCUCAUGAUCGUAGCUUGAAAGAUGGCUCUGCUAUCGCUUUUGGAUGGACCCGCGGCGUAUUAGCUAGUUGGUGAGGUAAUAGCUCACCAAGGCAAUGAUACGUAGCCGACCUGAGAGGGUAAUCGGCCACAUUGGGACUGAGACACGGCCCAAACUCCUACGGGAGGCAGCAGUAGGGAAUCUUCCACAAUGGGCGAAAGCCUGAUGGAGCAAUGCCGCGUGAGUGAAGAAGGUUUUCGGAUCGUAAAACUCUGUUGUUGAAGAAGAACAUGCGUGAGAGUAACUGUUCACGUACUGACCGUAUUCCACCAGAAAGCCACGGCUAACUACGUGCCAGCAGCCGCGGUAAUACGUAGGUGGCAAGCGUUGUCCGGAUUUAUUGGGCGUAAAGAGAAUGUAGGCGGUUUAUUAAGUUUGAAGUGAAAGCCCUCGGCUCAACCGAGGAAGUGCUUCGAAAACUGGUAAACUUGAGUGCAGAAGAGGAAAGUGGAACUCCAUGUGUAGCGGUGGAAUGCGUAGAUAUAUGGAAGAACACCAGUGGCGAAGGCGGCUUUCUGGUCUGUAACUGACGCUGAGAUUCGAAAGCAUGGGUAGCAAACAGGAUUAGAUACCCUGGUAGUCCAUGCCGUAAACGAUGAGUGCUAAGUGUUGGAGGGUUUCCGCCCUUCAGUGCUGCAGCUAACGCAUUAAGCACUCCGCCUGGGGAGUACGAUCGCAAGAUUGAAACUCAAAGGAAUUGACGGGGGCCCGCACAAGCGGUGGAGCAUGUGGUUUAAUUCGAAGCAACGCGAAGAACCUUACCAGGUCUUGACAUACCAUGAAAAGCUAAGAGAUUAGUCUUUCCCUUCGGGGACAUGGAUACAGGUGGUGCAUGGUUGUCGUCAGCUCGUGUCGUGAGAUGUUGGGUUAAGUCCCGCAACGAGCGCAACCCUUAUUAUCAGUUGCCAGCAUUCAGUUGGGCACUCUGGUGAGACUGCCGGUGACAAACCGGAGGAAGGUGGGGACGACGUCAAAUCAUCAUGCCCCUUAUGACCUGGGCUACACACGUGCUACAAUGGUCGGUACAACGUGCUGCGAACUCGCGAGGGUAAGCAAAUCACUUAAAACCGAUCUCAGUUCGGAUUGUAGGCUGCAACUCGCCUACAUGAAGCUGGAAUCGCUAGUAAUCGCGGAUCAGCAUGCCGCGGUGAAUACGUUCCCGGGCCUUGUACACACCGCCCGUCACACCAUGAGAGUUUGUAACACCCAAAGUCGGUGGGGUAACCCUUCGGGGAACUAGCCGCCUAAGGUGGGACAAAUGAUUAGGGUGAAGUCGUAACAAGGUAGCCGUAGGAGAACC